RNAcentral lists this unclassified non-coding RNA (571 nucleotides) under Trichoderma viride. Its description in RNAcentral is "partial contains small subunit rRNA, ITS1, 5.8S rRNA, ITS2, and large subunit rRNA". The stretch from base 224 to 377 matches the Rfam family "5.8S ribosomal RNA". The record is from RNAcentral. Lineage: Eukaryota; Fungi; Ascomycota; Sordariomycetes; Hypocreales; Hypocreaceae.
AAUUUUGACAAGGUUUCCGUAGGUGAACCUGCGGAAGGAUCAUUACCGAGUGCGGGCCCUCGUGGCCCAACCUCCCACCCUUGUCUCUAUACACCCGUUGCUUUGGCGGGCCCACCGGGGCCACCUGGUCGCCGGGGGACGUUCGUCCCCGGGCCCGCGCCCGCCGAAGCGCUCUGUGAACCCUGAUGAAGAUGGGCUGUCUGAGUACUAUGAAAAUUGUCAAAACUUUCAACAAUGGAUCUCUUGGUUCCGGCAUCGAUGAAGAACGCAGCGAAAUGCGAUAAGUAAUGUGAAUUGCAGAAUUCCGUGAAUCAUCGAAUCUUUGAACGCACAUUGCGCCCCCUGGCAUUCCGGGGGGCAUGCCUGUCCGAGCGUCAUUUCUGCCCUCAAGCACGGCUUGUGUGUUGGGUGUGGUCCCCCCGGGGACCUGCCCGAAAGGCAGCGGCGACGUCCGUCUGGUCCUCGAGCGUAUGGGGCUCUGUCACUCGCUCGGGAAGGACCUGCGGGGGUUGGUCACCACCAUAUUUUACCACGGUGACCUCGGAUCAGGUAGGAGUACCCGCGAACUAAA